Molecule: ribosomal RNA, 739 nt
Filed under: uncultured fungus
Lineage: Eukaryota; Fungi
Description: eukaryotic LSU rRNA
Rfam family: Eukaryotic small subunit ribosomal RNA (bases 1-241)
Source: RNAcentral
UUGCUCUUCAACGAGGAAUACCUAGUAAGCGUAAGUCAUCAACUUGCGUUGAUUACAUCCCUGCCCUUUGUACACACCGCCCGUCGCUACUACCGAUUGAAUGGCUUGGUGAGAUUUCCGGAUUGGCGUUGAGGAGCCGGCAACGGCACCUCUUGGCUGAGAAGUUACUCAAACCUGGUCAUUUAGAGGAAGUAAAAGUCGUAACAAGGUUUCCGUAGGUGAACCUGCGGAAGGAUCAUUAUUGAUUGGUCGAAAGACCUUAUCAGAUUCUACCACCUCUGUGAACCGUUGACCUCCGGGUUAAUAAUCAAACAUCAGUGUAACGAACGUAAGAGUAUCUUAAUUAAACAAAACUUUUAACAACGGAUCUCUUGGCUCUCGCAUCGAUGAAGAACGCAGCGAAAUGCGAUAAGUAAUGUGAAUUGCAGAAUUCAGUGAAUCAUCGAAUCUUUGAACGCACCUUGCGCCUUUUGGUAUUCCGAAAGGCAUGCCUGUUUCAGUGUCAUGAAAUCUCAAUCUAAUAUGUUUUCUGAACAUGUUAGCUUGGACUUGGGUGUCUGCCAGCAAUGGCUCACCUCAAAUGACUUAGUGGAACAUCCCACAUCAGUGUUAGACGUAAUAAGUUUCGUCUCUCCUUGUGGUGAUGACUGCUCAAAACCUGCCAUCGCGCACCUUUUGACUUUGACCUGAAAUCAGGUAGGGCUACCCGCUGAACUUAAGCAUAUCAAUAAGCGGAGGA